Molecule: ribosomal RNA, 207 nt
Filed under: uncultured bacterium
Lineage: Bacteria
Description: partial 16S ribosomal RNA
Rfam family: Bacterial small subunit ribosomal RNA
Source: RNAcentral
UGCGUAGGUGGCGGGGUAAGUCAGGUGUGAAAUCUCGGAGCUCAACUCCGAAACUGCACUUGAUACUGCCUUGCUUGAGUACUGGAGAGGAGAUUGGAAUUUACGGUGUAGCAGUGAAAUGCGUAGAUAUCGUAAGGAAGACCAGUGGCGAAGGCGAAUCUCUGGACAGUUACUGACACUGAGGCACGAAGGCCGAGGGAACAAACG